AACGCACAUUGCGCCCCUUGGUAUUCCGAGGGGCAUGCCUGUUCGAGCGUCAUUUCAAACCCUCAAGCUUCUGCUUGGUAUUGGGCUCUCGUCCGUCACAAGGACGUGCCCGAAACUCGUAGGCAGUGGCGCCCAGCUCCUUUGCGUAGUUAUAUAUUCCGCUCUGGAUUUGUUGGGUACUACUCGCCCUAUAACCUUCUAUUUUCUUUAUGGUUUGACCUCGGAUCAGGUAGGGAUACCCGCUGAACUUAA
RNAcentral lists this unclassified non-coding RNA (252 nucleotides) under uncultured fungus. RNAcentral describes it as "sequence contains ITS2". The stretch from base 1 to 52 matches the Rfam family "5.8S ribosomal RNA", at positions 103 to 154 of the family's 154-position model. Lineage: Eukaryota; Fungi. The record is from RNAcentral.